UACGGGGGGGGUAAGCGUUGUUCGGAAUUACUGGGCGUAAAGGGCUCGUAGGCGGCCAACUAAGUCAUACGUGAAAUCCCUCAGCUUAACUGGGGAACUGCGUCUGAUACUGGACGGCUGGAGUUUGGGAGAGGGAUGUAGAAUUCCAGGUGUAGCGGUGAAAUGCGUAGAUAUCUGGAGGAAUACCGGUGGCGAAGGCGGCAUCCUGGACCAAUACUGACGCUGAGGCGCGAAAGCUAGGGGAGCAAACGGG
This 253-nucleotide ribosomal RNA is filed under the name uncultured bacterium. RNAcentral's name for it is "partial 16S ribosomal RNA". It matches the Rfam family "Bacterial small subunit ribosomal RNA", at positions 524 to 776 of the family's 1533-position model. The record is from RNAcentral.